AAACGUCUUCAGGGCAGGGUGAAAUUCCCGACCGGUGGUUAGAGUCCACGAGCUUUUAUCCGUUUUGAUAAAAGUUGAACUGGUGAAAUUCCAGUACCGACAGUAUAGUCUGGAUGGAAGAAGAUAAUG
Regulatory RNA element from Jeotgalibaca sp. PTS2502, 129 nucleotides. It matches the Rfam family "FMN riboswitch aptamer (RFN element)". Rfam says of the family: The RFN element is a highly conserved domain that is found frequently in the 5'-untranslated regions of prokaryotic mRNAs that encode for flavin mononucleotide (FMN) biosynthesis and transport proteins. This element is a metabolite-dependent riboswitch that directly binds FMN in the absence of proteins. The record is from Rfam. Lineage: Bacteria; Bacillati; Bacillota; Bacilli; Lactobacillales; Carnobacteriaceae.